RNAcentral lists this ribosomal RNA (492 nucleotides) under uncultured bacterium. RNAcentral's name for it is "partial 16S ribosomal RNA". It matches the Rfam family "Bacterial small subunit ribosomal RNA", at positions 29 to 507 of the family's 1533-position model. The record is from RNAcentral.
AGUGAACGCUGGCGGUAGGCCUAACACAUGCAAGUCGAACGGCAGCACAGUAAGAGCUUGCUCUUACGGGUGGCGAGUGGCGGACGGGUGAGGAAUACAUCGGAAUCUACUUUUUCGUGGGGGAUAACGUAGGGAAACUUACGCUAAUACCGCAUACGACCUACGGGUGAAAGCAGGGGAUCUUCGGACCUUGCGCGAUUGAAUGAGCCGAUGUCGUAUUAGCUAGUUGGCGGGGUAAAGGCCCACCAAGGCGACGAUCCGUAGCUGGUCUGAGAGGAUGAUCAGCGACACUGGAACUGGGACACGGUCCAGACUCCUACGGGAGGCCGCAGUGGGGAAUAUUGGACAAUGGGCGCAAGCAUGAUCCAGCCAUACCGCGUGGGUGAAGAAGGCGUUCGGGUUGUAAAGCCCUUUUGUUGGGAAAGAAAAGCAGCAGGUUAAUACCACGCUGUUCUGACGGUACCCAAAGAAUAAGCACCGGCUAACUUCGUG